This is a non-coding RNA of Podarcis lilfordi (Lilford's wall lizard), 75 nucleotides long. The record is from the annotation of a GenBank genome assembly. NCBI's taxonomy places the organism in Eukaryota, Metazoa, Chordata, Lepidosauria, Squamata, Lacertidae.
CCUGGGAUAGCUCAGUCGGCAGAGCAUGAGACUCUUAAUCUCAGUCUUGUGGGUUCUAUAGCCCCACAUUCAGCA